AGCAGACUCUUCACAAGUGGACAGAACUUGCCAUUAGACUGGAGCUCUGCAGUCUAGUAUGGGCAGAUGAAGAUACAACAUAUAUAGAAGGAGACACAUACCGUGAAUACUUCAACAGCAUACUGUUUAAAAGAAAAAAAAUACUUCUCUAGACAUCAGAGAAUGAGGAAAAUAACAACAAAGGAGAAAUCUACAGAAAUCUACAAGAAGACUAGUAUGCAUUGGACAAUGAAUAAAAUGCUCAACCUUGUGAGAAGCUAAUUCUCCCUUUCUACCAUUCAUCAGUUGCCUGAAGUUCACUGUCUUGGGUUUUCCUGAGUCCUGAGGAGAGAAGUUUGAUAAAGCCAUUCCAUU
This is a long non-coding RNA of Mastomys coucha (southern multimammate mouse), 354 nucleotides long. RefSeq lists it as uncharacterized. The transcript has 3 exons. NCBI's taxonomy places the organism in Eukaryota, Metazoa, Chordata, Mammalia, Rodentia, Muridae. The record is from RefSeq and is a predicted model, not a curated record.